This 253-nucleotide ribosomal RNA is filed under the name uncultured bacterium. RNAcentral's name for it is "partial 16S ribosomal RNA". It matches the Rfam family "Bacterial small subunit ribosomal RNA", at positions 524 to 776 of the family's 1533-position model. The record is from RNAcentral.
UACGUAGGAUCCGAGCGUAGUCCGGAAUUACUGGGUGUAAAGGGCGUGUAGGUGGGUCUCUAAGUCGAUGGUGCAAUCCUGCAGCUUAACUGUAGAAUUGCCUUCGAUACUGGAGAUCUUGAGUGCGGCAGAGGGAGAUGGAAUUCAUGGUGUAGCGGUGAAAUGUGUAGAUAUCAUGAAGAACACCGGUAGCGAAGGCGGUCUCCUGGUCCGUAACUGACACUGAGGAGCGAAAGCGUGGGGAGCAAACAUG